AGGAUUAACGCUGGCGGCGUGCAUGAAACAUGCAAGUCGAGCGCGGUGUGAUGCGGGGUAACCCAAUUCACAUCUAGCGGCGAACGGGUGAGUAACACGUGAGCAAUCUACCUUUGAGUUGGGGAUAGCCCUGGGAAACCAGGAUUAAUACCCGAUGUGGUCACAACAGGACAUCCUGAUGUGAGUAAAGGCGUAAGCCGCUCAAUGACGGGCUCGCGGCCUAUUAGCUUGUUGGUGGGGUAACGGCCUACCAAGGCGAUGAUGGGUAGCUGGUCUGAGAGGACGAUCAGCCACACUGGGACUGAGACACGGCCCAGACUCCUACGGGAGGCAGCAGUUAGGAAUUUUCCGCAAUGGGCGAAAGCCUGACGGAGCAACGCCGCGUGAGUGAUGAAGACCUUCGGGUUGUAAAGCUCUGUCGGAGGGGAAGAACACAAUGACGGUACCCUCCAAGAAACGCCCGGCUAACUACGUGCCAGCAGCCGCGGUAA
Molecule: ribosomal RNA, 491 nt
Filed under: uncultured bacterium
Lineage: Bacteria
Description: SSU rRNA
Rfam family: Bacterial small subunit ribosomal RNA
Source: RNAcentral